CGCAUCUGUGCAUGCAGCAUAUCAAUAAGCGGAGGAAAAGAAACUAACAAGGAUUCCCUUAGUAACGGCGAGUGAAGCGGGAAGAGCUCAAAUUUGAAAUCUUCAAGGUUUUACCUUGACGAAUUGUAGUUUAAAGAAGUGUUUUCUGUUGAAGUUUUGGUAAAAGUUCUUUGGAAUAGGACAUCAUAGAGGGUGAGAAUCCCGUAUUUGACCAUUAUUUUCAGCUGUGUGAUACACUUUCAAAGAGUCGGAUUGUUCGGGAAUGCAGUCCAAAAUGGGUGGUAAAUUUCAUCUAAAGCUAAAUAUUGGCGAGAGACCGAUAGCGAACAAGUACCGUGAGGGAAAGAUGAAAAGAACUUUGAAAAGAGAGUUAAACAGUACGUGAAAUUGUCAAAAGGGAAGCGUUUGACACCAGUGCUGUUUUUCUGAAAAUCAAUUAAAGAACUGUUUAUGCUAAGUUGUUUAGACUUUAUCAGCUAACUGUUUAGUUUUGAGCUUUUCUUUAAUGCACUUUUCAGUUAACAAGUCAACAUCAAUUCCUUUUGCUGUAAAAAAGCUUGAGGAAGGUGGCUUGAGAUUCGUCUUAAGUGUUUAUAGCCUCUUGCCUAUGCAGUCGGAGAGAUUGAGGUCUGCAGCGUAGAUCCUUCGGGGCUAAAUGCAUUUGUGCUAAGUUAUAGCUUUUUAUAGACAACUUGUUGACUAUGAUUAGUCUUGUAGCUUACUCGCUUAUGUUAUUUUACCUACGCUUAGGAUGUUGAUCUCUCACAGUCGAGC
This 774-nucleotide ribosomal RNA is filed under the name uncultured Neocallimastigales. RNAcentral describes it as "partial large subunit ribosomal RNA". It matches the Rfam family "Eukaryotic large subunit ribosomal RNA", at positions 26 to 645 of the family's 3401-position model. The record is from RNAcentral. Lineage: Eukaryota; Fungi; Neocallimastigomycota; Neocallimastigomycetes; Neocallimastigales.